AGAGAGAGACAUGCGCGCAUAUCAAUAAGCGGAGGAAAAGAAACUAACAAGGAUUCCCUUAGUAACGGCGAGUGAAGCGGGAAGAGCUCAAAUUUGAAAUCUUCAAGGUUUUACCUUGACGAAUUGUAGUUUAAAGAAGUGUUUUCUGCUGAAGUUUUGGUAAAAGUUCUUUGGAAUAGGACAUCAUAGAGGGUGAGAAUCCCGUAUUUGACCAUUAUUUCCAGCUUUGUGAUACACUUUCAAAGAGUCGGAUUGUUUGGGAAUGCAGUCCAAAAUGGGUGGUAAAUUUCAUCUAAAGCUAAAUAUUGGCGAGAGACCGAUAGCGAACAAGUACCGUGAGGGAAAGAUGAAAAGAACUUUGAAAAGAGAGUUAAACAGUACGUGAAAUUGUCAAAAGGGAAGCGUUUGACACCAGUGUUGUUUUCUCGAAAAUCAAUUAAAAAUGGCUCGACUUUGUAUUGCUUGAGACCUUAAAAGCUCACUGUACAUUUUUCGUGUCUUUUUUAAUGCACUUUUCGUUUAACGAGUCAACAUCAGCUUCUUUUGUUGUAAAAGGGUCAUUGGAAGGUGGCUUUCUUUUCGGAGAAAGUGUUUAUAGCCUUUGGCCUCUGCAAUCGGAGAGACUGAGGUCUGCAGCGUAGACUCUUCGGGGUUAGAUACAUUUGUGCUAAGUUAUAGCUUUUUAUAGACAACUUGUUGACUAUAAUUAGUCUUGUAGCUUACUCGCUUAUGCUAUUUUACCUACGCUUAGGAUGUUGAGUCGUAGAGCACGCA
RNAcentral lists this ribosomal RNA (774 nucleotides) under uncultured Neocallimastigales. RNAcentral's name for it is "partial large subunit ribosomal RNA". It matches the Rfam family "Eukaryotic large subunit ribosomal RNA", at positions 23 to 605 of the family's 3401-position model. The record is from RNAcentral. Lineage: Eukaryota; Fungi; Neocallimastigomycota; Neocallimastigomycetes; Neocallimastigales.